This 501-nucleotide ribosomal RNA is filed under the name uncultured bacterium. RNAcentral's name for it is "bacterial SSU rRNA". It matches the Rfam family "Bacterial small subunit ribosomal RNA", at positions 30 to 526 of the family's 1533-position model. The record is from RNAcentral.
AUUGAACGCUGGCGGCAGGCCUAACACAUGCAAGUCGAACGGUAACAGGCCUUCGGGUGCUGACGAGUGGCGGACGGGUGAGUAAGGUAUGGGGAUCUGCCUGAUGGAGGGGGAUAACCACUGGAAACGGUAGCUAAUACCGCAUAACGUCGCAAGACCAAAGUGGGGGACCUUCGGGCCUCAUGCCAUCAGAUGUGCCCAGAUGGGAUUAGCUAGUAGGUGGGGUAAUGGCUCACCUAGGCAACGAUCCCUAGCUGGUCUGAGAGGAUGACCAGCCACACUGGAACUGAGACACGGUCCAGACUCCUACGGGAGGCAGCAGUGGGGAAUAUUGCACAAUGGGCGCAAGCCUGAUGCAGCCAUGCCGCGUGUAUGAAGAAGGCCUUCGGGUUGUAAAGUACUUUCAGCGAGGAGGAAGGCAUUAAGGUUAAUAACCUUAGUGAUUGACGUUACUCGCAGAAGAAGCACCGGCUAACUCCGUGCCAGCCGCCGCAGUAACAC